UCUGAUAGGGGACCCUUGUGGGUGUCUCUCCCCACACACUGAGAACUGCUGCUGUAGAAGGUAAAGGUGUAGCUUCUUCAAAACCUUUUUGUUUUUACAGUUUCUAAUGUUAAGUAUAGAAAGAAGAAUUCCAUUAAGAGGAGCGAGCUGUUCAUUAAGCAUUGUUUGAGUUCUGUGUUCAAGUAUGCAAGAUGUCAAAGGUAGGAGCAUGGAAAAGACAAGGUUGAUCUAUCUUCUGUUUUGAUUCCAUGAUGUCAGAGUAGUAAUCACUUUAGCUAUAAAGACAUUGGACAUCAUAGCCUGUUUGAUGUCCAUUGGAUAUCAUAGCCUGCUGUCUGCCCUAGGUCUGCUUGAUGCAACAGCUAACUGGAUGAAGCACCACACUCAACACUACACUGGUUCUUGAAAACUGAGAAGGGUUGGUCUCCAAGUAUCCUGUCAAUGCUGAGAUCAUCCACACAGCUGCCUCAUGCCUUCCUCUUGAUGACAUACAUACCCAGCGAUGGAAUUGUGGCCAUCCUGGUGGACCAUGGACCAAGAAGCUUCCCAUGGGCCAACAGGACAACAGGAGAGUACAAAAGGACAGAGCAGUGGAACAAGAUGUGAUUAUCUUGGGCUACACCAGAAUCCCCAGGAGGGUUUGUACCCAUGGACCACAUGCAUGCCUGGUGCCCAGUGUCCUCGGAGAUCAGAGGAAGGUAUCAGAUUUGGGUCCUCUGCAAGAGCAAAAUGUGCUGUUAACUGCUGUACUGUCUGUCCAGCCUCAAGAGGGACAGCUUUUAAGAACCAAUGGCUCCCAGCUUUACCCUGGAACCACAGUGGAGCUAGUCCAGAGUAGGUCUAAGUUUGUUUUUCAUAAACUUCCUGAAUAAAGCAGCCAGCGUUGAAAACCACAGCCCUAGGGCACCAGAUAUUUCAGGAAACAGUAUGAUCAGAUGGUGCAUACCUUAAAAAUCCAUCCUCCUCCUGACAUUCCAGGCCCAAAUAAAAAUAGAGAUUUAAAAUAUGUUCCCUAA
Long non-coding RNA from Grammomys surdaster, 1016 nucleotides. RefSeq lists it as uncharacterized. The transcript is spliced from 3 exons. Lineage: Eukaryota; Metazoa; Chordata; Mammalia; Rodentia; Muridae. The record is from RefSeq and is a predicted model, not a curated record.